RNAcentral lists this long non-coding RNA (1156 nucleotides) under Equus asinus (donkey). RNAcentral's name for it is "lncRNA (ENSEASG00005034872.1)". The record is from RNAcentral. Lineage: Eukaryota; Metazoa; Chordata; Mammalia; Perissodactyla; Equidae.
AGGACUAUGUUAGAACUUUGCAAAGCAUCGCAUGAAUGUAUUAUUUUCCAGCUUUUCCUUAAGAAUGUUUUUAGUCAAUUUUUUGUUUGUCCCAGUUGUUAAUAUUGCCUUAGGCAGGUGUGCUCUUUAAACAAUUGUCACUGAUUGCUUUCAACAAAUGCCGCCUGUUUCCAUGGAUCAAGCUGUGAGUUAGGUCAAAUAAAAGCAAGCCUUGCAAAUGGAGCUUUCCAGGGCACCUCCAGACAGGUCAAAUAUCGUCAGUUCUCUGGAAUGGUGUUUUUGGGGAGCUCCAAAUCUGUUCUUCUCUCUCCAGUGGCUGCUAGGCUGCUAGUUUCAAAGCCACUAUGGUUAUUAGGUUAUUGGUUUCCAAGGCUACUGCAGAACUGAGGAAAGAGGGAUUAGAAUUGGGAUUCUACAGUGAAUGACGAGCAGUUUGUUCCUGUGUAGAGCUGCCAUAUUAGCAGGAAGCUGGGAAGUCUGACGGGUUUUCCCUUCUCUCUCAGGGGCAUGGAGUGUGAAGAAACAGGAGGAUCAAAAAGGAGCCACUAAAAAGCCAUAUCGCAGCCUUGCUGGAGGAGCCUUCUCUUUUCACUGAGAACAUAAGAAUUUGCAGCAUUUUUGGAGGAGGCCAAGCCUUACUUGCAGGAAGAUAGCACCAAUUAUAUGGACACAUUUUUAAGGAAUUAACCCUAAAGGAAACACCAACAUUCUUAGUGACAUAAGUGACUUGGUAGAUUACAGAAUAGUGAUGAGAAAUAUGAAUUCAUAGCAUAAUUCAUUUCAAUAACUCGGCAAAGUGAGAGAAGAGGAAACAGAAAGAGACAGAGAAAGAGAAAGAAGAAGGGAGGGAGGGCAUUUGUGUAUGUGUGUGUGCGUGCACGCUCCAUCUGUGCCUGAAAUUUGUUCCAUAUUUGCUUGGAGUCCCAAUUGUUUAGGGGGAUCCAUAGUAGAUGAGCCUGUUCCAGGACUCAUGGAAAAUAGUUCCCUUCUGCAUUGUUUGGAGCUGGACUCUGCCAGUGGUGGAAGAAAACUUUUAAACACAAUUACACUAUCAAGAUGUACAGUGAGUGAGUCAAAGGCCUGGACCAGCCUGGCCUGAGAUGAUAGAAUCAGAGGUAGGUCAUAAAUCUCCAGCUGCCUUAGAGUGUACGCCACA